RNAcentral lists this ribosomal RNA (354 nucleotides) under Triticum aestivum (bread wheat). Its description in RNAcentral is "partial small subunit ribosomal RNA". The record is from RNAcentral. Lineage: Eukaryota; Viridiplantae; Streptophyta; Magnoliopsida; Poales; Poaceae.
AUGGCUCCUACCGAGGCUGAGGCUGAUGUAGAGGAGGGAGAAGAGAAGAAGAAGAGGGAAAGGAAAGCAGCCGGAGCUGCUUUCACGUGGAUUCAAAAUAACUUUGCGACGUGCCCUCCGGAUGCCACUGAUGAUGUGAUCCAGACACAUGCUCGUGUGUAUAUGUGGUACGUUGUGUCGAGGACUUUGUUUCCUGACUCCACUGGCAAGAAUGCUCCAUGGAUGUGGCUGAAGGCGUUGACCGUCUUUGAUAGCAAAUGGAGCUGGGGUUCAGCGACUCUUGCGUACUUGUACCGACAUGGAGUUGGUCUAUUUUGUGAUCAACUCAUUUAUUCAUUAGCAAUGCAAGCUUGA